This 400-nucleotide ribosomal RNA is filed under the name uncultured bacterium. Its description in RNAcentral is "bacterial SSU rRNA". It matches the Rfam family "Bacterial small subunit ribosomal RNA", at positions 355 to 772 of the family's 1533-position model. The record is from RNAcentral.
UGGGGAAUAUUGCGCAAUGGGGGAAACCCUGACGCAGCAACGCCGCGUGGAGGAAGAAGGUCUUCGGAUUGUAAACUCCUGUCUUCUGGGACGAUAAUGACGGUACCAGAGGAGGAAGCCACGGCUAACUACGUGCCAGCAGCCGCGGUAAUACGUAGGUGGCGAGCGUUGUCCGGAAUUACUGGGCGUAAAGGGCGCGUAGGCGGCUCUUUAAGUCAGAUGUGAAAACCCAGGGCUUAACUUUGGGACUGCAUUUGAAACUGAAGGGCUUGAGUGCAGGAGAGGUAAGUGGAAUUCCUAGUGUAGCGGUGAAAUGCGUAGAUAUUAGGAGGAACACCAGUGGCGAAGGCGACUUACUGGACUGUAACUGACGCUGAGGCGCGAAAGCGUGGGGAGCAAA